GUCUAUGGCCAUGCCACCCUGAACAAGCCCAAUGUCUGAUCUUGGAAGCUAAGCAGGAUCGGGCCUGGUUAGUACUUGGAUGGGAGACCACCUAGGAAGACCAGGUGCUGUAGGCA
RNAcentral lists this ribosomal RNA (116 nucleotides) under Pteropus alecto (black flying fox). Lineage: Eukaryota; Metazoa; Chordata; Mammalia; Chiroptera; Pteropodidae. The record is from RNAcentral.